RNAcentral lists this ribosomal RNA (737 nucleotides) under Candidatus Synechococcus spongiarum. RNAcentral's name for it is "bacterial SSU rRNA". It matches the Rfam family "Bacterial small subunit ribosomal RNA", at positions 796 to 1533 of the family's 1533-position model. The record is from RNAcentral. Lineage: Bacteria; Bacillati; Cyanobacteriota; Cyanophyceae; Synechococcales; Synechococcaceae.
CUGGCCGUAAACGAUGAACACUAGAUGUUGGGGGAAUCGACCCCCUCGGUGUCGUAGCUAACGCGUUAAGUGUUCCGCCUGGGGAGUACGCACGCAGGUGUGAAACUCAAAGGAAUUGACGGGGGCCCGCACAAGCGGUGGAGUAUGUGGUUUAAUUCGAUGCAACGCGAAGAACCUUACCAAGGCUUGACAUCCUGCGAAUCUCCAAGAAAUUGGAGAGUGCCUUUUGGAACGCAGUGACAGGUGGUGCAUGGCUGUCGUCAGCUCGUGUCGUGAGAUGUUGGGUUAAGUCCCGCAACGAGCGCAACCCACGUUUUUAGUUGCCAGCAUUCAGUUGGGCACUCUAGAAAGACUGCCGGUGACAAACCGGAGGAAGGUGUGGACGACGUCAAGUCAUCAUGCCCCUUACGCCUUGGGCUACACACGUACUACAAUGCUGCGGACAAAGAGUAGCGAUCUUGCGAAAGUUAGCUAAUCUCGUAAACCGUGGCUCAGUUCAGAUCGUAGGCUGCAACUCGCCUACGUGAAGGAGGAAUCGCUAGUAAUCGCAGGUCAGCAUACUGCGGUGAAUACGUUCCCGGGCCUUGUACACACCGCCCGUCACACCAUGGAAGUUGGCCAUGCCCGAAGUCGUUACUCUAACCUUUUGGAAGAGGGCGCCGAAGGCAGGGCUAAUGACUGGGGUGAAGUCGUAACAAGGUAGCCGUAGCGGAAGCUGCGGCUGGAUCACCUCCUAA